AUCGCUUCUCGGCCUUUUGGCUAAGAUCAAGUGUAGUAUUUAUAGAUAUACUUAUUUUCUUUUAUUCCCU
RNAcentral lists this small nuclear RNA (70 nucleotides) under Homo sapiens (human). RNAcentral's name for it is "U2 spliceosomal RNA". It matches the Rfam family "U2 spliceosomal RNA", at positions 1 to 110 of the family's 192-position model. Rfam says of the family: U2 is a small nuclear RNA (snRNA) component of the spliceosome (involved in pre-mRNA splicing). Lineage: Eukaryota; Metazoa; Chordata; Mammalia; Primates; Hominidae. The record is from Rfam by way of RNAcentral.